AGUGGCGAACGGGUGAGUAACACGUGGGCAACCUGCCCAAAAGAGGGGGAUAACACUUGGAAACAGGUGCUAAUACCGCAUAACCAUAGUUACCGCAUGGUAACUAUGUAAAAGGUGGCUAUACUACCGCUUUUGGAUGGGCCCGCGGCGCAUUAGCUAGUUGGUAGGGUAAAGGCUUACCAAGGCAAUGAUGCGUAGCCGAAUUGAGAGGUUGAUCGGCCACAUUGGGACUGAGACACGGCCCAAACUCCUACGGGAGGCAGCAGUAGGGAAUCUUCCACAAUGGGCGAAAGCCUGAUGGAGCAACGCCGCGUGGGUGAAGAAGGUCUUCGGAUCGUAAAACCCUGUUGUUAGAGAAGAAAGUGCGUGAGAGUAACUGUUCACGUUUCGACGGUAUCUAACCAGAAAGCCACGGCUAACUACGUGCCAGCAGCCGCGGUAAUACGGAGGAUGCGAGCGUUAUCCGGAUUUAUUGGGUUUAAAGGGUGCGCAGGCGGGCUGUUAAGCCGGCGGUAAAAAUUCAGGGCUCAACCCUGUCGAGCCGUCGGAACUGGCAGUCUUGAGUGGGCGAGAAGUAUGCGGAAUGCGUGGUGUAGCGGUGAAAUGCAUAGAUAUCACGCAAAACGCCGAUUGCGAAGGCAGCAUACCGGCGCCCAACUGACGCUNAGGCACGAAGCGUGGGGAUCGAACAGGAUUANAUACCCUGNUA
Molecule: ribosomal RNA, 709 nt
Filed under: uncultured bacterium
Lineage: Bacteria
Description: bacterial SSU rRNA
Rfam family: Bacterial small subunit ribosomal RNA
Source: RNAcentral